AUGAUGGCGGUCAAAUCAGUUUGGGUUACGUUUUUGAACCGAUACCACGGUAUAAUUCCCAAAAUGAUUCCCACUUUCGCGCUCUUCGUUUUAUACAUACUGCAUGCUCAUGCUGUUCCUCAAGGUGACCCAAUUACUCAGAAUUAUGAUAAUCCAUCAACGGGCGUACCUCCAACUUCGUACCCUCCUUCAGAAGCAUCAGCUGACACACCAUUUGCAUACCAAGGGUAUCCA
Molecule: long non-coding RNA, 234 nt
Organism: Pieris rapae (cabbage white)
Lineage: Eukaryota; Metazoa; Arthropoda; Insecta; Lepidoptera; Pieridae
Exons: 3
Source: RefSeq, a predicted model, not a curated record